RNAcentral lists this ribosomal RNA (497 nucleotides) under uncultured bacterium. Its description in RNAcentral is "bacterial SSU rRNA". It matches the Rfam family "Bacterial small subunit ribosomal RNA", at positions 28 to 525 of the family's 1533-position model. The record is from RNAcentral.
GAUGAACGCUAGCGGCAGGCCUAACACAUGCAAGUCGAGGGGUAGAACACUUCGGUGUUUGAGACCGGCGCACGGGUGCGUAACGCGUAUGCAAUCUACCUUGUACAGGGGAAUAGCCCAGAGAAAUUUGGAUUAAUGCCCCAUAGUAUAUAACCUUCGCAUGUUGGUUAUAUUAAAGUUCCAACGGUACAAGAUGAGCAUGCGUCCCAUUAGUUAGUUGGUAAGGUAACGGCUUACCAAGACGAUGAUGGGUAGGGGUCCUGAGAGGGAGAUCCCCCACACUGGUACUGAGACACGGACCAGACUCCUACGGGAGGCAGCAGUGAGGAAUAUUGGUCAAUGGUCGCAAGACUGAACCAGCCAUGCCGCGUGCAGGAAGACGGUCCUAUGGAUUGUAAACUGCUUUUAUACAGGAAGAAACCCUCCCACGUGUGGGAGCUUGACGGUACUGUAGGAAUAAGGAUCGGCUAACUCCGUGCCAGCAGCCGCGGUAAACA